This is a ribosomal RNA of Fervidicola ferrireducens, 2006 nucleotides long. It matches the Rfam family "Bacterial large subunit ribosomal RNA", at positions 165 to 2126 of the family's 2925-position model. The record is from Rfam. NCBI's taxonomy places the organism in Bacteria, Bacillati, Bacillota, Clostridia, Thermosediminibacterales, Thermosediminibacteraceae.
CAUAGGCAUGGGAGGCGAUACCGGGGGAACUGAAACAUCUUAGUACCCCGAGGAAAAGAAAGCAAGAGCGAUUCCCUGAGUAGCGGCGAGCGAAAGGGGAGUAGCCCAAACCCAUCAUGUGUGAAAGGCCGUCGCCGUUGCAUGAUGGGGGUUGAGGGAGUGCCGAGCCUGACGACGGUAGGGCGAGGCGAGCUGGAUGGGUAGCCGAACGCCGCUGGAAAGCGGGGCCAUAGAAGGUGAAAGCCCUGUAGGCGAAACUCAGAAGGCCGCCUGGCACAUCCCGAGUACCACGGGACACGAGGAAUCCCGUGGGAAGCAGGGAGGACCAUCUCCCAAGGCUAAAUACCACCUUGCGACCGAUAGCGCAUAGUACCGUGAGGGAAAGGUGAAAAGAACCCCGGGAGGGGAGUGAAAUAGAACCUGAAACCGUGUGUCUACAAGCAGAGGGAGCGUCAAGCGACCUCGUACUUUUUGCAGAACGGACCGGCGAGUUACCGUACCAAGCGAGGUUAAGGGGCUAAAGCUCCGGAGCCGUAGCGAAAGCGAGUCCGAAUAGGGCGUGAGUUUGGUGCGGUAGACCCGAAACCGCGUGAUCUACCCAUGGCCAGGGUGAAGCGGGACUAAACUCCCGUGGAGGCCCGAACCAUGUUGACGUUGAAAAGUCAUGGGAUGAGCUGUGGGUAGGGGUGAAAUGCCAAUCGAACGCGGAGAUAGCUGGUUCUCCCCGAAAUAGCUUUAGGGCUAGCCUCAGCUGGACCUGGCCGGAGGUAGAGCACUGACUGGGCUAGGGGCCGAGAGGUUACCGAACCCUAUCAAACUCCGAAUGCCGGCCAGAGGGUAGCUGGGAGUCAGACUGUGGGGGAUAAGCUUCACAGUCGAGAGGGGAACAGCCCAGACCGUCAGCUAAGGUCCCGAAGUAAGCCUAAGUGGGGAAGGAUGUGGCACUGCGAAGACAGCCAGGAUGUUGGCUUAGAAGCAGCCAUCAUUUAAAGAGUGCGUAACAGCUCACUGGUCUAGCGGUGCUGCGCCGAAAAUGUAACGGGGCUGAAGGCUUACACCGAAGCUGCGGAUGGUGGCCGAAAGGUCACUGUGGUAGGGGAGCGUUCCUACUGGGCGGAAGCAUAACCGUAAGGUUAUGUGGACUGGUAGGAAGUGAGAAUGUCGGUAUAAGUAGCGAGAGGCAGGUGAGAAUCCUGCCCGCCGGAAGCCUAAGGUUUCCUGAGGAAGGCUCGUCCACUCAGGGUUAGCCGGGACCUAAGCCGAGGCAUGGUAAUGCGUAGGCGAUGGAGAACGGGUAGAUAAUCCCGUGCCACCUGAGGCCGUUUGAGCGAAGGGGUGACGCAGGAGGGUAGGCCGAGCGCGCGGUUGGUAGAGCGCGUCCAAGCCCAAAGGCAAGCCGGACAGGCAAAUCCGUCUGGUGGUGCUGAAGGGUGAUGGGGAGGGAAGGUGAGUACCGAAGCGGCUGAACCCACACUGCCGAGAAAAGCCUCUAGCGAGGCCGAAGGUGCCCGUACUGCAAACCGACACAGGUAGGCGAGGAGAGAAUCCACAGGCGAGCGGGAGAACCCUCGUUAAGGAACUCGGCAAACUGACCCCGUAACUUCGGGAGAAGGGGUGCCCUAGUAGCUGGCUGCGGAAGCAGUUGGUGAACGGGUCGCAGGGAAUCGGCCCAAGCGACUGUUUAGCAAAAACACAGGUCUCUGCUAAGGAGGAAUCCGACGUAUAGGGGCUGACGCCUGCCCGGUGCUGGAAGGUUAAGGGGAGGGGUUAGCCGGAAGGCGAAGCUCUGAACCGAAGCCCCAGUGAACGGCGGCCGUAACUAUAACGGUCCUAAGGUAGCGAAAUUCCUUGUCGGGUAAGUUCCGACCCGCACGAAAGGCGUAACGACUUGGGCGCUGUCUUGACGAGGGGCCCGGCGAAAUUGUAGUAUGAGUGAAGAUGCUCAUUACCCGCAGCUGGACGGAAAGACCCCGUGGAGCUUUACUGCAGCCUGAUAUUGGAUUUCG